GCCCCGCCCGCCCCAGAAGUGGGAGGAGCCGCGGUCCUGCGGACGUUUGGGCGCCUCCGUUUAGGUCCUGAUCCAGAAUCCUGAGUUCCAUGCUGGGUGUGGAGCCAAAAAAAAAAAAAAAAAAUGAAGUUGUGACACCUGGAAAAAAAUAAUAUGAAAGUUUUAUAAAAGGCUAAAACCUCUACAGAUGUUAACAACUGACUCAGCUGCAAUCUGAGGAGGCACCUCGAGGACCACACAGUACUAGGGAAAGGAGGGAGCUGAGGAAUUGGGGCUCUUAGCCCGGAUCUAGCUUGGACCUGAACAGAUUUUUCUUUAAUGCUUUACAUAUUGGGUUUCUAUAUACAAUUUUAUGUGGAAAAAAAAGCUCUCACUCAUUUUUUGAAAAUUCUGGAUUCUGGAUAAUGCUUCACA
This is a long non-coding RNA of Canis lupus familiaris (dog), 414 nucleotides long. RefSeq lists it as uncharacterized. The record is from RefSeq and is a predicted model, not a curated record. Lineage: Eukaryota; Metazoa; Chordata; Mammalia; Carnivora; Canidae. The transcript has 3 exons.